ACGAACGCUGGCGGCGUGCUUAACACAUGCAAGUCGAACGGUGAAGCUCCAGCUUGCUGGCGUGGAUCAGUGGCGAACGGGUGAGUAACACGUGAGCAACCUGCCCCAGACUCUGGAAUAAGCGCUGGAAACGGCGUCUAAUACUGGAUACGAGAUCAAGCCGCAUGGUUAUGGUCUGGAAAGUUUUUCGGUUUGGGAUGGGCUCGCGGCCUAUCAGCUUGUUGGUGAGGUAAUGGCUCACCAAGGCGACGACGGGUAGCCGGCCUGAGAGGGCGACCGGCCACACUGGGACUGAGACACGGCCCAGACUCCUACGGGAGGCAGCAGUGGGGAAUAUUGCACAAUGGGCGAAAGCCUGAUGCAGCGACGCCGCGUGAGGGAUGACGGCCUUCGGGUUGUAAACCUCUUUCAGCAGGGAAGAAGCGAAAGUGACGGUACCUGCAGAAGAAGCACCGGCUAACUACGUG
RNAcentral lists this ribosomal RNA (467 nucleotides) under uncultured bacterium. RNAcentral's name for it is "partial 16S ribosomal RNA". It matches the Rfam family "Bacterial small subunit ribosomal RNA", at positions 29 to 507 of the family's 1533-position model. The record is from RNAcentral.